AAAACAUGAUUGGGGUGGGGGGUGGGGAGAGAACUGUGGUUGGCUUGUAAAACGAAAAAGAAAAAAAUCAUUCUGCUCAAGGCAUCUAGAAGAGUUUGUUUGGGCUAUGGUUCCACCGUGGCAGGGACACAGGGCAGCAAGCAGCAGGCACAGGGGCAGGAGCAGGAAGCUGAAGGCUCGCAGUUUGAGCCACAGCAUGAAGCAAGAGAGUGAACUAGAACCUGCAAACUCUCGAAGCCCACCUCCAGUGACACGCUUCCUCCAACAAGGCCACGCCUCCUACGCCUCCCCCAAACAGUCCCACUAACUGGGGGCUGAACGUCCAAACGCCUGAGACUGUGGAAGACCUUCUCACUGAACCCACCACAGUCAUUCCCAUGAUAGAAGGUUUGCAGAUGGACAGGCACGGGCAGACCCCCAAGUCUUCACAUCCUCAGCGGUGGGUAAAAACAGCUGUAAGUUAAAGACUCUGGAGGUGAUUUCUCAGAAAGUUCCAAAAAAGCAGAACUUGGUUUUGAGACGGGUUUAGCCCUGUGCUCACUCUGUGGGCGUGGCGUCAGGUAGGACAGCCCUGUGCUCACUCUGUGGGCGUGGCGUCAGGUAGGACUGCCCUGUGCUCACUCUGUGGGCGUGGCGUCAGGUAGGACUGCCCCGCUGUCGGCCUCUCUGACGCUCCUGUGAGCAUCAUUCCUCCUUCUCACUUGUGUCUAGGGUAGUCGAACCUCCGAUACCUGUGCCAACAUGUUGCACAUCAUUUAUUUUCCUUGCCAUACUAUCCCAUAACAUGCAGGAAAAAAAAAAGCCAUCUCGGGACACUUGCAUCAUGUUAGGUAUUGGAAGCAGAAAUAGGAAAGUAGAACUCAGAUCACAGCCAGGUCCACUGAUCAGCCGCCACUAAAACUUAACUGAAGGUUCAGUGGUUAAGAGCACUAGCUGCCCUUCCAGAGGACCCGAGAUCAAGUCCCAGAACUAACAUGACAGUUCACAGCCAGCUGCAACUCCAGUUCCUGAGCAGCCAAAGUCCCUUUCUCGCCUCUGAGGUACCAGGCACACACAUGGUACACACACACUCAUGCAGACGAAGCACCCAUAUACAAGAAAUAAAUAUCGAAAAUAUUUUACUGGGGAUGAAGAGAUGCACAAGACGCUCACUGAAACUCCCUUGAGAUAACAUAACCUCUAGAACUGUCCCAAAACCUAUGAAUUGUAGUCUCAUCUAUGCACUAAAAUAACUAUGAGAAAGGGCUGUUUUAGACAAAUUUUAAUAGAAUCCUUUUCUAGAACUUUGGAAAAUGCCACCUUCUGAGUAACAGAGUUUUCAGAAACCUGGAGUUCUCUCUCUUUAAAUAUGAGAAUGUAGGAGUUUGUAUGUGUGUGGUACUCAGGGUAGAACCCAGGACCUUGUGCACAGUAGCUAUCCUGGUUAGGUGUUUUUUUGUUUUGUUUUGUUUUUUGUUUUUGUUUUGUUUUGUUUUUUGGUCAACUUGACACAAGCUAGAGAUGCCUGAGAAAAAGGAAUCACAACCGAGAAAAUGUUUCCAUAAGAGUGGCUUGUAGGCAAGCCUACGGAGCAUUUUCCUAAGUAGUGAUGGCGUGGGAGGGCCCACACAUGGUGAGUGGUGCCUCCCCUGGACAGGUGAUCCUGGGUUGUAUAAGAAGACAGGCUGAGCAAGCCAGGAGGAGCAAGCUGCUAAGCGGCACUUCUGCAUUGGUCCCUCCCGUCGCUGCCUUUGAGGAUGGACUGCACUUAGGAAGUGUACGAUGAAAUCAACCCCUUACUCCCUACAUUGUUUUUGGUUAUUGUUUUAUCACAGCAAUAGAAACUCUAAGACAAUAGACUCUACCACUGUACAAUACCCACAGUUCCAAAUGUGGACUCUUUAUAAAGGACUUAUGGGGGCUGGAGAGAGAGCUCAGCAGAUAAGAGCACUGGAUGCUCACCCAGAGGACCUGGGUUUGAUAUUCAUCAUCCACACAGCAGCUCACAACCACCUCUAACUCCAGUUACAGGGAUCCAGCACCCUCUUCUGGCCUCUGUCGGGCACCAGGAACAUGGGUGAUGAGGAGACAUGCAUGUAAGCCAACACUUACACACACACACACACACACACACACACACACACACACACACACACACGGCUUUAAGUAUAAUUCUGCCUUCCACAUGGUGCACUGAAAUUUAUUUCCUAGUACUCCAUGCCGUCCCUCUGCAGUGUGUGUACUUUAUUAUAUACACUGCAAGGAGUGUGGUAGUUUAGCAUUACUGUAAAUGACUCCAGCAGGAACAUUUUUAAUUGCUGUCUCUAAUUUCUCUGUAACUUUCUUUGCAAUAUGGGAUUAUCCUCCUCUACCAGGAAUAUGUGCCUUUUGUCAUGCUGUGGAGAUUGGAACAUUAAAAAAAUGAAUUUAUCUGAAUACUAAAAGUCAAAAGUGAAGGGCCUGGCCUUAGAGGUACACGGGUGCUGUGUAGAAGCAAAAGGUGUGGGUUUGUGCAUAAGUGUUAUGGCAUCACCGUGUCUUCUUGUGGUGUUCUGACCCCUCCCCUGUCCUCUGUGCCCGAGGUGUGCUGUCACUGCUCUCCUGCCCAGGCACCUGGCGCUGUAGCAGGGAGACUUCGUUCCGUCAUACACCACGUGACAAAAUUGCUCAGUUUUGGUUUUAAAUCAGCUCAGGCUUGAUAGCCUUUGAGUUCUUCGGUAUACUCUGCAUGCCCGAGACUUCUGGUCUGCCUUUCAGACUUGUUCAGCUACCACUGUUUUAGAAGACAUCUGUACCCAGAAAUUCCCUGUUGCUCUUUAUUUUAUACCAGAAAAUCUGUAAAUGGUAUCAUCUUGCUUCCUCUGUCUUGGUUCUCUGUUGGUCAGCCUGAGUAUCCCCAUCCUCACACUCUCAGAGUAUCCCCAUCCUCACACUCUCAGCCUGAGUAUCCUCAUCCUCACACUCUCAGCCUGAGUAUCCCAUCCUCACACUCUCAGUCAGAGUAUCCCCAUCCUCACACUCUCAGUCAGAGUAUUCCCAU
Non-coding RNA from Peromyscus maniculatus bairdii (prairie deer mouse), 3019 nucleotides. NCBI's taxonomy places the organism in Eukaryota, Metazoa, Chordata, Mammalia, Rodentia, Cricetidae. The record is from RefSeq and is a predicted model, not a curated record.